CAGUAGCCGCGGUAAAACGAAGGGGGCUAGCGUUGCUCGGAAUGACUGGGCGUAAAGCGUGCGCAGGCGGUUUGUUAAGACAGAUGUGAAAUCCCCGGGCUCAACCUGGGAACUGCAUUUGUGACUGGCAAGCUAGAGUGUGGCAGAGGGGGGUGGAAUUCCGCGUGUAGCAGUGAAAUGCGUAGAUAUGCGGAGGAACACCGAUGGCGAAGGCAGCCCCCUGGGCCAACACUGACGCUCAUGCACGAAAGCGUGGGGAGCAAACAGGAUUAGAUACCCCUGUAGUCCCUGUCUCUUAUAC
This 301-nucleotide ribosomal RNA is filed under the name uncultured bacterium. RNAcentral's name for it is "partial 16S ribosomal RNA". It matches the Rfam family "Bacterial small subunit ribosomal RNA", at positions 509 to 807 of the family's 1533-position model. The record is from RNAcentral.